CUAACCUUACUUUGUGUCUCUUGUCUAUUUACCAUAUAUGCGUUUUUGAUGAUUGAAAAAUAACAUUAAAUGUAGAAAUGAACACAGCUGCAUUUAUCUCUUGCCUGAACUGAGCACUUCCAUCACAGCUCCCUGACCAGUUUGAGAGUGAAACCCAUAAUAUAGCAUAGGUGAAGAGUAUUAAAGGACCGCUAUAGGCACCCAGACCACUUCAGCUUAAUGAGGUGGUCUGGGUGCCAGGUACAGCUAGGGUUAACCCUGCCUGCUGUAAACAUAGCAGUUUCAGAGAAUGUGCUAUGUUUACAUUAGGGUUAAUCCAGCCUCUAGUAGCUGUCUCGUUGAUUUUCACAGUGAGAAAACGCCAGCAUCCAUAGGAAAGCAUUGAGAAUGGUAUCCUAUGAGACUGGCUGAAUGCGCAUGUGGCUCUUGCCGCGCAUGCGCUUUCAGCCGAUGACGGCGAAAGGAGGAGGAGAGUCCCCAGCGCCGAGGGAGCCUGGCGCUGGAAAAAAGGUAAGGGAUUAACCUUACCUUGAGGGUGAGGGGGACCCAAGGACCCUAUAGAACCAGGAAAACAAGUAUGUUUUCCUGGCACUAUAGUGGUCUUUUAAUGCAGCACUGUCACACCAUACUUAUCUUUUCCC
Non-coding RNA from Pelobates cultripes (western spadefoot toad), 641 nucleotides. The record is from the annotation of a GenBank genome assembly. NCBI's taxonomy places the organism in Eukaryota, Metazoa, Chordata, Amphibia, Anura, Pelobatidae.